GAUGAACGCUGGCGGCGUGCCUAAUACAUGCAAGUCGAGCGAAGCGGGGACGGGUGAGUAACACGUGGAUAACCUCCUAUAAGACUGGAAUAACUUCGUGAAACCGGAGCUAAACCGGAUACUUAUAGAUGGAUCUGCGCUGCAUUAGCUAGUUGGUAAGGUAACGGCUUACCAAGGCAACGAUGCAUAGCCGACCUGAGAGGACGACCAGCCACACUGGGACUGAGAAACGGCCCAGACUCCUACGGGAGGCAGCAGUGGGGAAUUUUGGACAAUGGGGGAAACCCUGAGCCAGCCAGCCCGCGGGUGCGAUGAAGGCCUUCGGGUUGUAAAGCACUUUUGGCAGGAAAGCGGUACCUGCAGAAUAAGCACCGGCUAACUACGUGCCAGCAGCCGCGGUAAUAC
This 405-nucleotide ribosomal RNA is filed under the name uncultured bacterium. RNAcentral describes it as "partial 16S ribosomal RNA". It matches the Rfam family "Bacterial small subunit ribosomal RNA", at positions 28 to 526 of the family's 1533-position model. The record is from RNAcentral.